GAUAUAGUGGAAAAUGAGCAAGGGUCUUCGCAUUUGACUCGACGAGUGCGAAGGGUAAGGAAGCUAGCCGAGCCUAGGAGGAUUCGCUUAGGUAGCUGGAACGUAGGGUCUCUGACAGGGAAGCUUCGGGAGCUAGUUGAUCCAGCGGUGAGGAGAGGUGUUGAUAUCCUUUGCGUCCAAGAAACCAAAUGGAGAGGACAGAAGGCAAAGGAGGUGGAGGAUGCUGGCUUCAAGCUGUGGUACACGGGGACGGCUGCAAACAGAAAUGGCGUAGGCAUCUUGAUCAACAAGAGCCUCAAGUAUGGAGUGGUAGACGUCAAGAGACAUGGGGACCGGAUUAUCCUGGUCAAGCUGGUAGUUGAGGACUUGGUUCUCAAUGUUAUCAGCGCGUAUGCCCCGCAAGUAGGCCACAAUGAGAACACCAAGAGGGAGUUCUGGGAAGGCCUGGAAGACAUGGUUAGGAGUGUACCGAUUGGUGAGAAGCUCUUCAUAGGAGGAGACCUCAAUGGCCACGUGGGUACAUCUAACACAGGUUUUGAAGGGGCGCAUGGGGGAUUUGGCUAUGGCAUC
RNAcentral lists this ribosomal RNA (570 nucleotides) under Triticum aestivum (bread wheat). RNAcentral describes it as "partial small subunit ribosomal RNA". The record is from RNAcentral. Lineage: Eukaryota; Viridiplantae; Streptophyta; Magnoliopsida; Poales; Poaceae.